GACGAACGCUGGCGGCGUGCUUAACACAUGCAAGUCGAACGGAAAGGCCCUGCUUUUGUGGGGUGCUCGAGUGGCGAACGGGUGAGUAAAACGUGAGUAACCUGCCCUUGACUUUGGGAUAACUUCAGGAAACUGGGGCUAAUACCCGAUAGGAUCUCCUGCUGCAUGGUGGGGGUUGGUAAGUUUCGGCGGUUGGGGAUGGACUCGCGGCUUAUCAGCUUGUUGGUGGGGUAGUGGCUUACCAAGGCUUUGACGGGUAGCCGGCCUGAGAGGGUGACCGGCCACAUUGGGACUGAGAUACGGCCCAGACUCCUACGGUAGGCAGCAGUGGGGAAUAUUGCACAAUGGGCGGAAGCCUGAUGCAGCAACGCCGCGUGCGUGAUGACGGCCUUCGGGUGGUAAACCGCUUUCGCCGGUGACGAAGCGUGAGUGACGGUAAUGGGUAAAGAAGCACCGGCUAACUACGUG
RNAcentral lists this ribosomal RNA (468 nucleotides) under uncultured bacterium. Its description in RNAcentral is "partial 16S ribosomal RNA". It matches the Rfam family "Bacterial small subunit ribosomal RNA", at positions 28 to 507 of the family's 1533-position model. The record is from RNAcentral.